GAUGAACGCUGGCGGCGUGCCUAAUACAUGCAAGUAGAACGCAGCUGCGAACGGGUGAGUAACGCGUAGGUAACUCCCUCAUAGCGUGGGAUAACUAUUUUAAACGAUAGCUAAUACCGCAUACCGUGAGAUAGACUCGUGUUGUAUUAGCUAGUUGGUGAGGUAACGGCUCACCAAGGCGACGAUGCCAAGCCGACCUGAGAGGGUGAUCGGCCACACUGGAAUGAAGCAAAGGCCAGGAUGCUGCGGGAAGCAACAAUAGGGGAACUUCGGCAAUGGGCGGAAGGCUGACCAGACAACGGCGCGGGGGUGGAGGAGGUUUUCGGAUCGUAAAACUCUGUUGAUAGGGAAGCGGUAACUAACCAGAAAGGGACGGCUAACUACGUGCCAGCAGCCGCGGUAAGUC
Molecule: ribosomal RNA, 406 nt
Filed under: uncultured bacterium
Lineage: Bacteria
Description: partial 16S ribosomal RNA
Rfam family: Bacterial small subunit ribosomal RNA
Source: RNAcentral